RNAcentral lists this ribosomal RNA (438 nucleotides) under uncultured bacterium. RNAcentral's name for it is "partial 16S ribosomal RNA". It matches the Rfam family "Bacterial small subunit ribosomal RNA", at positions 338 to 795 of the family's 1533-position model. The record is from RNAcentral.
CCUACGGGAGGCAGCAGUGGGGAAUAUUGCACAAUGGGGGGAACCCUGAUGCAGCGACGCCGCGUGCGUGAAGAAGUAUUUCGGUAUGUAGCUCUAUCAGCAGGGAAGAAAAUGACGGCACCUGACUAAGAUUCCCCGGUUAACUACGUGCCAGCAGCCGCGGUAAUACGUAGGGGGCAAGCGUUAUCCGGAUUUACUGGGUGUAAAGGGGGCGCAGACGGUUGUGCAAGUCUGGAGUGAAAGGCGGGGGCCCAACCCCCGGACUGCUCUGGAUACUGUAAAGCUGGAGUGCAGGAGAGGUAAGCGGAAUUCCUAGUGAAGCGGUGAAAUGCGUAGAUAUUAGGAAGAACACCAGUGGCGAAGGCGGCUUACUGGACUGAAACUGACGUUGAGGCUCGAAAGCGUGGGGAGCAAACAGGAUUAGAUACCCCAGUAGUC